This 433-nucleotide ribosomal RNA is filed under the name uncultured bacterium. Its description in RNAcentral is "bacterial SSU rRNA". It matches the Rfam family "Bacterial small subunit ribosomal RNA", at positions 84 to 518 of the family's 1533-position model. The record is from RNAcentral.
UGCAGUUAGUAGGGCGAAAGGGGUGAGGAACGCGUGAGUAACCCUAGCCCCCGAAAGUUGGGAAUAACAAGUUGGAAACGACUGCUAAUACCUGAUGCGUAUUGUUUUUUCGGCAUACGAGAAAACAAUUUAAAGAUUUAUCGGCUUGGGGGAUGGGCUCGCGUCCCGAUUAGGUAGUUGGUGAGGUAACGGCCCACCAAGCCGACGAUGGGUAGCUGGUCUGAGAGGAUGGUCAGCCACACUAGGACUGAGACACUGCCCAGACUCCUACGGGAGGCUGCAGUCGAGAAUCUUCCGCAAUGCGCGAAAGCGUGACGGAGCAAAUGCCGCGUGCCGGAUGAAGGUCUUCGGAUCGUAAACGGCUGUCAGAUGGGACGAAUAAAGUGACGGUACCAUCAAAGGAAGCCACGGCUAACUACGUGCCAGCAGCCGC